Molecule: ribosomal RNA, 260 nt
Filed under: Clostridioides difficile
Lineage: Bacteria; Bacillati; Bacillota; Clostridia; Peptostreptococcales; Peptostreptococcaceae
Description: partial 23S ribosomal RNA
Rfam family: Bacterial large subunit ribosomal RNA
Source: RNAcentral
AGGCCGUAAACCCAAGGUUUCCAGGGGAAGGUUCGUCCGCCCUGGGUUAGUCGGGACCUAAGCUGAGGCCGAAAGGCGUAGGUGAUGGACAACAGGUUGAUAUUCCUGUACUACCGAUAACCGUUUGAGAGCAGGGAUGACACAGUAGGAUAAGCUAAGCACACUGUUGGUUAUGUGUGCCCAAGCAUUGAGGCAGUCAAAGUAGGCAAAUCCGCUUUGAUAAUGCUGGGAUGUGAUGGGGAGCGAAAUUUAGUAGCGAA